AGUGGGAUAGUCAGAGAGAUGCAGAAAGUAGACAAGACUACAAGGAGAUAUGGCGCCAGGUGAAGAGAGAGGUGGCGAAGGCUAAAGAAAAAGCAUAUGAUGAGUUGUAUGAGAGGUUGGACACUAAAGAGGGAGAAAAGGACCUGUACUGAUUGGCUAGAUAGAGGGACCGAGCUGGGAAAGAUGUGCAGCAGGUUAGGAUAAUAAAAGAUAAAGAUGGAAACGUACUCACAAGCGAGGAGAGUGUGCUGAGCAGAUGGAAAGAGUACUUUGAGAGGCUUAUGAAUGAAGAGAAGGAGAGAGAGAAAAGUAAGGACAGCUAUGAAGAGGAUGAAGAAUGGAAAAGCCGUUGUUCCAGAUGACAUACCUGUGGAAGCAUGGAGGUGUUUAGGAGAGAUGGCAGUGGAGUUUUUAACCAGAUUGUUUAAUGGAAUCUUGGAAAUUGAGAGGAUGCCUGAGGAGUGGAGAAAAAGUGUACUGGUGCUGAUAUUUAAGAAUAAGGGGGAUGUGCAGAACUGUAGUAACUACAGGGGGAUAAAAUUGAUCAGCCACAGCAUGAAGUUAUGGGAAAGAGUAGUGGAAGCUAGGUUAAGAAGUGAGGUGAUGAUUAGUGAGCUGCAGUAUGGUUUCAUUCCAAGAAAGAGCACCACAGAUGCAAUGUUUGCUCUGAGGGUGCUGAUGGAAAAGUAUAGAGAAGGCCAGAAGGAGUUGCAUUGCGUUUUUGUGGACCUGGAGAAAGCAUAUGACAGGGUGCCUCAAGAGAAGUUGUGGUAUUCUAUGAGGAAGUCUAGAGUGGCAGAGAAGUAUGUAAGAGUUGUACAGGAUAUGUGCAAAGGAAGUGAGACCGUGGUGAGGUCUG
Erpetoichthys calabaricus (reedfish) is the source of this 859-nucleotide long non-coding RNA. RefSeq lists it as uncharacterized. The record is from RefSeq and is a predicted model, not a curated record. NCBI's taxonomy places the organism in Eukaryota, Metazoa, Chordata, Cladistia, Polypteriformes, Polypteridae. The transcript is spliced from 3 exons.